This 492-nucleotide ribosomal RNA is filed under the name uncultured bacterium. Its description in RNAcentral is "partial 16S ribosomal RNA". It matches the Rfam family "Bacterial small subunit ribosomal RNA", at positions 30 to 507 of the family's 1533-position model. The record is from RNAcentral.
AUUGAACGCUGGCGGCAGGCCUAACACAUGCAAGUCGAACGGUAACAGGAUACGGCUUGCUGUUUCGCUGUCGCGAGGCGCGCGCGGGUGUGGUGUCCAUGAAACUGCCUGUUGUAGUGGGGGAACUACUGGGAACGGUUACUCUAACAGCAUAUAGUACCAACAGCAGAAAGCGGGGGCCCUGCGCCCCUUGCCCGCUGGUGUGAGCCGAUGUGGGAUUAGCUUGUUGGUGGGGUAACGGCUCACCAAGGCGACGAUCCGUAGCUGGUCUGAGAGGAUGACCAGCCACACUGGAACUGAGACACGGUCCAGACUCCUACGGGAGGCAGCAGUGGGGAAUAUUGGACAAUGGGCGCAAGCCUGAUGCAGCCAUGCCGCGUGUAUGAAGAAGGCCUUCGGGUUGUAAAGUACUUUUGGCGGGGAGGAAGGGAAUAAAGUUAAUACCUCGCCGCAUUGACGGUACCCGCAGAAGAAGCACCGGCUAACUUCGUG